CCCUACGGGGUGCACCAGGCGCGAAACCUCCGCAAUGCACGAAAGUGCGACGGGGGAAAGAGAAGUGCCACUCUUAACGGGGUGGCUUUUCUUAAGUGUAAAAAGCUUUUGGAAUAAGAGCUGGGCAAGACCGGUGCCAGCCGCCGCGGUAA
This 152-nucleotide ribosomal RNA is filed under the name uncultured archaeon. Its description in RNAcentral is "partial 16S ribosomal RNA". It matches the Rfam family "Archaeal small subunit ribosomal RNA", at positions 321 to 473 of the family's 1478-position model. The record is from RNAcentral.